UACGUAGGUGGCGAGCGUUAUCCGGAUUUACUGGGUGUAAAGGGCGUGUAGGCGGGUGUUCAAGUCGGAUGUGAAAAGGCAAGGCUCAACUUUUCUCUGUCAUCCGAAACUGGAUAUCUUGAGUGUCUGAGGGGAAAGCGGAAUUCCUGGUGGAGCGGUAAAAUGCGUAGAGAUCAGGAGGAACACCGGCGGCGAAGGCGGCUUUCUGGCAGACAACUGACGCUGAGGCGCGAAAGCGUGGGGAGCAAACAGGAUUAGAUACCCUGGUAGU
RNAcentral lists this ribosomal RNA (271 nucleotides) under uncultured prokaryote. Its description in RNAcentral is "partial 16S ribosomal RNA". It matches the Rfam family "Bacterial small subunit ribosomal RNA", at positions 524 to 794 of the family's 1533-position model. The record is from RNAcentral.